GCAAGCUGUGUGAAUAGCAGCUGGCUACAAUGCCUGAAGCCUUAGGGUGCCAGCUGCCUGGAGUGGCAGCUGGGUGUUGUUCAUAAGCUAAGCCACCCCGCACCAAAAAUAUAUUUUACAUGCUUGAGCUGACCUUGCCGCAAAUCUCAAGGAACCAUGCAGCAGGAGAUCUCACAGGCGAUCAGCACUCAAACCAGUGGACAGCUAUUAGAUCCAGCGUUUUUCAGCUGCUUCGUUUAUUCAAGUAGGACACAAAAGACUUCUGGGAUUCCUUCCUACAAUAAGGAUCC
Molecule: long non-coding RNA, 290 nt
Organism: Podarcis raffonei (Aeolian wall lizard)
Lineage: Eukaryota; Metazoa; Chordata; Lepidosauria; Squamata; Lacertidae
Exons: 3
Source: RefSeq, a predicted model, not a curated record